Molecule: ribosomal RNA, 450 nt
Filed under: uncultured bacterium
Lineage: Bacteria
Description: bacterial SSU rRNA
Rfam family: Bacterial small subunit ribosomal RNA
Source: RNAcentral
GUGGGGAAUAUUGGACAAUGGGCGAAAGCCUGAUCCAGCCAUGCCGCGUGUGUGAAGAAGGUCUUCGGAUUGUAAAGCACUUUAAGUUGGGAGGAAGGGCAGUAAGUUAAUACCUUGCUGUUUUGACGUUACCGACAGAAUAAGCACCGGCUAACUUCGUGCCAGCAGCCGCGGUAAUACGAAGGGUGCAAGCGUUAAUCGGAAUUACUGGGCGUAAAGCGCGCGUAGGUGGUUUUGUAAGUUGGAGGUGAAAUCCCCGGGCUCAACCUGGGAACUGUCUCCAAAACUUCAUGACUAGAGUACGGUAGAGGGUAGUGGAAUUUCCUGUGUAGCGGUGAAAUGCGUAGAUAUAGGAAGGAACACCAGUGGCGAAGGCGACUACCUGGACUGAUACUGACACUGAGGUGCGAAAGCGUGGGGAGCAAACAGGAUUAGAAACCCGAGUAGUCC